GAAUUAUGUUUUCUAGAUGGGUUGUAGCUGGCCCUUUGGGGCAUGUGCACGCCUGUCCGGACUUCAUUUUCAUCCACCUGUGCACCUAUUGUAGUCUUUGUCGGGAUGCAUUGAGGAAGUGGUCAGCCUAUCAGCAGUUGCUGGAUGUGAGGACUUGCAAUGCAGCAGUGUUGCUGUCCUUUACUUGGCCACGGAAUCGGUUUCCUGUCGGAGUCUAUGUCAUUUAUUAUACCCUGUAGAAUGUCAUUGAAUGUCUAUACAUGGGCUUGUAUGCCUAUGAAAAUUGUAAUACAACUUUCAGCAACGGAUCUCUUGGCUCU
This 320-nucleotide unclassified non-coding RNA is filed under the name rhizosphere metagenome. Its description in RNAcentral is "partial ribosomal RNA internal transcribed spacer region". The record is from RNAcentral.